Molecule: signal recognition particle RNA, 252 nt
Filed under: Clostridiales bacterium
Lineage: Bacteria; Bacillati; Bacillota; Clostridia; Eubacteriales
Description: signal recognition particle sRNA large type
Rfam family: Bacterial small signal recognition particle RNA (bases 117-209)
Source: RNAcentral
UCUUAUAAUCAUAUAUGAAAAAUGCUUUCUUAUAAAUCGGUAAACCCAUUGACUAAAGAGGCAAAAAUCAAUAUAAUAAAUUAGUGAGUUGCCUUUUGUCAGCUCCGUGCGCUCGCUGGCGUGUCGCGCAAUGAGACUCCGUGAACCUUGUCAGGUCCGGAAGGAAGCAGCAAUAAGCGGUUAAGUACUCAUGUGCGCACAUGGCACGCCAGCGAACGCACGGGGCUGACAAAGGGCAGCUUUUUUAUAGGG